This 2372-nucleotide ribosomal RNA is filed under the name Escherichia coli. RNAcentral's name for it is "partial 23S ribosomal RNA". It matches the Rfam family "Bacterial large subunit ribosomal RNA", at positions 428 to 2784 of the family's 2925-position model. The record is from RNAcentral. Lineage: Bacteria; Pseudomonadati; Pseudomonadota; Gammaproteobacteria; Enterobacterales; Enterobacteriaceae.
GGUAUCCUGUCUGAAUAUGGGGGGACCAUCCUCCAAGGCUAAAUACUCCUGACUGACCGAUAGUGAACCAGUACCGUGAGGGAAAGGCGAAAAGAACCCCGGCGAGGGGAGUGAAAAAGAACCUGAAACCGUGUACGUACAAGCAGUGGGAGCCUCUUAAUGGGGUGACUGCGUACCUUUUGUAUAAUGGGUCAGCGACUUAUAUUCUGUAGCAAGGUUAACCGAAUAGGGGAGCCGAAGGGAAACCGAGUCUUAACUGGGCGUUAAGUUGCAGGGUAUAGACCCGAAACCCGGUGAUCUAGCCAUGGGCAGGUUGAAGGUUGGGUAACACUAACUGGAGGACCGAACCGACUAAUGUUGAAAAAUUAGCGGAUGACUUGUGGCUGGGGGUGAAAGGCCAAUCAAACCGGGAGAUAGCUGGUUCUCCCCGAAAGCUAUUUAGGUAGCGCCUCGUGAAUUCAUCUCCGGGGGUAGAGCACUGUUUCGGCAAGGGGGUCAUCCCGACUUACCAACCCGAUGCAAACUGCGAAUACCGGAGAAUGUUAUCACGGGAGACACACGGCGGGUGCUAACGUCCGUCGUGAAGAGGGAAACAACCCAGACCGCCAGCUAAGGUCCCAAAGUCAUGGUUAAGUGGGAAACGAUGUGGGAAGGCCCAGACAGCCAGGAUGUUGGCUUAGAAGCAGCCAUCAUUUAAAGAAAGCGUAAUAGCUCACUGGUCGAGUCGGCCUGCGCGGAAGAUGUAACGGGGCUAAACCAUGCACCGAAGCUGCGGCAGCGACGCUUAUGCGUUGUUGGGUAGGGGAGCGUUCUGUAAGCCUGUGAAGGUGGCCUGUGAGGGUUGCUGGAGGUAUCAGAAGUGCGAAUGCUGACAUAAGUAACGAUAAAGCGGGUGAAAAGCCCGCUCGCCGGAAGACCAAGGGUUCCUGUCCAACGUUAAUCGGGGCAGGGUGAGUCGACCCCUAAGGCGAGGCCGAAAGGCGUAGUCGAUGGGAAACAGGUUAAUAUUCCUGUACUUGGUGUUACUGCGAAGGGGGGACGGAGAAGGCUAUGUUGGCCGGGCGACGGUUGUCCCGGUUUAAGCGUGUAGGCUGGUUUUCCAGGCAAAUCCGGAAAAUCAAGGCUGAGGCGUGAUGACGAGGCACUACGGUGCUGAAGCGACAAAUGCCCUGCUUCCAGGAAAAGCCUCUAAGCAUCAGGUAACAUCAAAUCGUACCCCAAACCGACACAGGUGGUCAGGUAGAGAAUACCAAGGCGCUUGAGAGAACUCGGGUGAAGGAACUAGGCAAAAUGGUGCCGUAACUUCGGGAGAAGGCACGCUGAUAUGUAGGUGAAGCGACUUGCUCGUGGAGCUGAAAUCAGUCGAAGAUACCAGCUGGCUGCAACUGUUUAUUAAAAACACAGCACUGUGCAAACACGAAAGUGGACGUAUACGGUGUGACGCCUGCCCGGUGCCGGAAGGUUAAUUGAUGGGGUUAGCGGUAACGCGAAGCUCUUGAUCGAAGCCCCGGUAAACGGCGGCCGUAACUAUAACGGUCCUAAGGUAGCGAAAUUCCUUGUCGGGUAAGUUCCGACCUGCACGAAUGGCGUAAUGAUGGCCAGGCUGUCUCCACCCGAGACUCAGUGAAAUUGAACUCGCUGUGAAGAUGCAGUGUACCCGCGGCAAGACGGAAAGACCCCGUGAACCUUUACUAUAGCUUGACACUGAACAUUGAGCCUUGAUGUGUAGGAUAGGUGGGAGGCUUUGAAGUGUGGACGCCAGUCUGCAUGGAGCCGACCUUGAAAUACCACCCUUUAAUGUUUGAUGUUCUAACGUGGGCCCCUUACCGGGGUUGCGGACAGUGUCUGGUGGGUAGUUUGACUGGGGCGGUCUCCUCCUAAAGAGUAACGGAGGAGCACGAAGGUUGGCUAAUCCUGGUCGGACAUCAGGAGGUUAGUGCAAUGGCAUAAGCCAGCUUGACUGCGAGCGUGACGGCGCGAGCAGGUGCGAAAGCAGGUCAUAGUGAUCCGGUGGUUCUGAAUGGAAGGGCCAUCGCUCAACGGAUAAAAGGUACUCCGGGGAUAACAGGCUGAUACCGCCCAAGAGUUCAUAUCGACGGCGGUGUUUGGCACCUCGAUGUCGGCUCAUCACAUCCUGGGGCUGAAGUAGGUCCCAAGGGUAUGGCUGUUCGCCAUUUAAAGUGGUACGCGAGCUGGGUUUAGAACGUCGUGAGACAGUUCGGUCCCUAUCUGCCGUGGGCGCUGGAGAACUGAGGGGGGCUGCUCCUAGUACGAGAGGACCGGAGUGGACGCAUCACUGGUGUUCGGGUUGUCAUGCCAAUGGCACUGCCCGGUAGCUAAAUGCGGAAGAGAUAAGUGCUGAAAGCAUCUAA